GACGAACGCUGGCGGCGUGCUUAACACAUGCAAGUCGAACGGAAAGACCCUGCUUUUGUGGGGUGCUCGAGUGGCGAACGGGUGAGUAACACGUGAGUAACCUGCCCUUGACUUUGGGAUAACCUCAGGAAACUGGGGCUAAUACCGGAUAGGAGCUCCUGCUGCAUGGUGGGGGUUGGAAAGUUUCGGCGGUUGGGGAUGGACUCGCGGCUUAUCAGCUUGUUGGUGGGGUAGUGGCUUACCAAGGCUUUGACAGGUAGCCGGCCUGAGAGGGUGACCGGCCACAUUGGGACUGAGAUACGGCCCAGACUCCUACGGGAGGCAGCAGUGGGGAAUAUUGCACAAUGGGCGGAAGCCUGAUGCAGCAACGCCGCGUGCGGGAUGACGGCCUUCGGGUUGUAAACCGCUUUCGCCUGUGACGAAGCGUGAGUGACGGUAAUGGGUAAAGAAGCACCGGCUAACUACGUG
This 468-nucleotide ribosomal RNA is filed under the name uncultured bacterium. Its description in RNAcentral is "partial 16S ribosomal RNA". It matches the Rfam family "Bacterial small subunit ribosomal RNA", at positions 28 to 507 of the family's 1533-position model. The record is from RNAcentral.